UCGAGAAUCAUUCGCAAUGGGCGAAAGCCUGACGAUGCGACGCCGUGUGAACGAAGAAGGCCUUCGGGUUGUAAAGCUCUUUCGCUUGGGAACAAGAGAUGUAACUUAAUAACCGGCAAAUUUGAGGGUACCAGGUAAAGAAGCACCGGCUAACUCCGUGCCAGCAGCUGCGGUAAUACGGAGGGUGCAAGCAUUAAUCGGAUUUAUUGGGCGUAAAGGGCGCGUAGGCGGAAAUGUAAGUCAGAUGUGAAAUCCCUGGGCUCAACCCAGGAACUGCAUUUGAAACUACAUUUCUAGAGGGUAGGCGGAGAAAAUGGAAUUCCACAUGUAGCGGUGAAAUGCGUAGAUAUGUGGAGGAACACCAGUGGCGAAGGCGGUUUUCUAGCUUACUCCUGACGCUGAGGCGCGAAAGCAAGGGGAUCAAACAGGAUUAGAUACCCCCGUAGUCC
RNAcentral lists this ribosomal RNA (449 nucleotides) under uncultured bacterium. RNAcentral describes it as "bacterial SSU rRNA". It matches the Rfam family "Bacterial small subunit ribosomal RNA", at positions 355 to 796 of the family's 1533-position model. The record is from RNAcentral.